UACGGGGGGGGCAAGCGUUGUUCGGAAUUACUGGGCGUAAAGGGCGCGUAGGCGGCCUUCUAAGUCGGACGUGAAAUCCCUCGGCUUAACCGAGGAACUGCGUCCGAUACUGAAAGGCUUGAAUCCGGGAGAGGGAUGUGGAAUUCCAGGUGUAGCGGUGAAAUGCGCAGAUAUCAGGAGGAACACCAAUUGCGAAGGCAGCUCGCUGGGACGUUACUGACGCUGAGACGCGAAAGCGUGGGGAGCAAACAGG
This 253-nucleotide ribosomal RNA is filed under the name uncultured bacterium. Its description in RNAcentral is "partial 16S ribosomal RNA". It matches the Rfam family "Bacterial small subunit ribosomal RNA", at positions 524 to 776 of the family's 1533-position model. The record is from RNAcentral.